GGGGAUGUAGCUCAGUGGUAGCGCACAUGCUUUGCAAGUAUGAGGCCCCAGGUUCAUUCCCUGGCAUCUGCU
This is a non-coding RNA of Mustela putorius furo (domestic ferret), 72 nucleotides long. The record is from Rfam. NCBI's taxonomy places the organism in Eukaryota, Metazoa, Chordata, Mammalia, Carnivora, Mustelidae.